Molecule: long non-coding RNA, 1077 nt
Filed under: Homo sapiens (human)
Lineage: Eukaryota; Metazoa; Chordata; Mammalia; Primates; Hominidae
Description: non-protein coding lnc-PSMC3IP-3:12
Source: RNAcentral
AGGAAGCGCUCGGUGGUGAAGUAGCGCAGGGUCGGCUUCGGGGCGCGCAAAGCGGUGAGGAAGACCUGCGGCGGCGGGAGGAGAGCUGUGGCCACCGCUGCGCGCCGGAGGACGCACCGCCCCCACUCCUGGAGUCCAGCCCGGCGCUCACCUCCGCCACCUCCUCAGGGUUCUGCGCCGCCUCGCGAAAGACUUGCUUGCUGUGGGCGAGGUAUUGGUAGAAGCGGUGGAAGGUGUGGAUGUCCGUGCGGUCCAGCACCUCCUCUGGGCUGCCCAACACCUUCUCCAUGAAGGCGGUGUGCACUGGGCCGCACUCGAUCAGGCUCAAGCUGCUGGCCGGAGAGCAACGAGUGGGAGGGGGCGGACGCCAGCCAGGCCCCAGUCCCAGCCCCAACCCCAGUCCCAGCCCCAACCACGUCCCGGCCCCCGACCGCGAGCAGCACCGCUGCGCUGGGAAGUGAGGCGGAAAGGGCGCUGGGGAUAACCAGAACAUUUGAAACGCGGGUUCCUGCCGGAGCAGCCCUCCCAAAUCCAUCUGAGGCUACAAGGGAGCCCUGGUGUCAGGAUUCGAAUCUAGCGGGGUCCCUGGCCGCUGUGUGACCUUGGGCCAGUCACCUAACCUCUCUGGGCUGGAGCUUCCCCAUAACAAUACCAACACUUCAGCAGCUAGGUCAGCAGGUGGCACAAUGCGUGCCAUGCGCCCAGCCCAAGUGCCUGGCACACAGCUAAUGUGAGCCGGGCAGAGAGGGCCAGGGAGAUCGCCCCAGAGCGGCUCCCGCAGGACAGGGUGCUCGGCGUCUCUAGGUCAGAGUUAAGAGGGUUCGGGGAACGGGGGUGUUGACUCACUGGACCCCAAAGGGCAGCAGCAGAACCGCCAGACUCUCGCAUAAGCCUUCGAGCGCGAACUUGCUGGCGCAAUAAACGUCAUUGAAAGGCAGCCCUUAGGUGGGGAGACGAGGUUCCUGAGGCGCAGCGGCCAGGGGGUCAUCCCCCGGCAGGCAGUGCCCCUCCAAGCUGAUUGCACCCCACCCCCUAAGGAGCCUGCCUUCAAGGCUCAGCUCUGCACACAAAGAAUCU